This 403-nucleotide ribosomal RNA is filed under the name uncultured bacterium. RNAcentral's name for it is "bacterial SSU rRNA". It matches the Rfam family "Bacterial small subunit ribosomal RNA", at positions 355 to 774 of the family's 1533-position model. The record is from RNAcentral.
UGGGGAAUCUUGCACAAUGGGGGCAACCCUGAUGCAGCGACGCCGCGUGAGCGAUGAAGCCCUUCGGGGCGUAAAGCUCUUUCGACCGGAACGAUAAUGACGGUACCGGGAGAAGAAGCUGCGGCUAACUACGUGCCAGCAGCCGCGGUAAGACGUAGGGUGCAAGCGUUGUCCGGAUUUACUGGGCGUAAAGCGCGCGUAGGCGGUCUGUUAAGUGAGAAGUGAAAUCUCCAGGGCUCAACCCGGAAACUGCUUUUCAUACUGGCAGACUUGAGGAAUGCAGAGGCAACUAGAAUUCCUGGUGUAGCGGUGACAUGCAUUGAUAUCAGGAGGAACACCCAUGGCGAAGGCAGGUUGCUGGGCAUUAUCUGACGCUGAGGCGCGAAAGCGUGGGUAGCAAACA